CCACGCGAAAGCGUGGCUAAUACCGCAUAAUCUCGCAAGAGCAAAGCAGGGGACCUUCGGGCCUUGCACUUUAGGAUGAGCCUGCGUCAGAUUAGCUUGUUGGUGGGAUAAAAGCCUACCAAGGCGACGAUCUGUAGCUGGUCUGAGAGGACGAUCAGCCACAUUGGGACUGAGACACGGCCCAAACUCCUACGGGAGGCAGCAGUAGGGAAUAUUGCCCAAUGGGCGAAAGCCUGAGGCAGCAACGCCGCAUGCACGAUGAAGGCCUUCGGGUUGUAAAGUGCUUUUCUGGAGGAAGAGAAAGGACGGUACUCCAGGAAUAAGGAUCGGCUAACUACGUGCCAGCAGCCGCGGUAACACGUAGGAUCCAAGCGUUAUCCGAAUUUACUGGGCGUAAAGCGCGUGUAGGCGGUUCGGUAAGUUGGACGUGAAAGCUCCUGGCUCAACUGGGAGAGGUCGUUCAAAACUUCCGGGCUAGAGGACGGUAGAGGGAGGUGGAAUUCCCGGUGUAGUGGUGAAAUGCGUAGAUAUCGGGAGGAACACCAGUGGCGAAGGCGGCCUCCUGGGCCGUUCCUGACGCUCAGACGCGAAAGCUAGGGGAGCGAACGGGAUUAGAUACCCCGGUAGUCCUAGCUGUAAACGAUGUGAACUUGGCGUUGGUGGGGUAAAAUCCAUCAGUGCCGAAGCUAACGCGAUAAGUUCACCGCCUGGGGACUACGGUCGCAAGGCUAAAACUCAAAGGAAUUGGCGGGGACCCGCACAAGCAGCGGAGCGUGUGGUUUAAUUCGAUGCUACACGAA
Molecule: ribosomal RNA, 800 nt
Filed under: uncultured bacterium
Lineage: Bacteria
Description: bacterial SSU rRNA
Rfam family: Bacterial small subunit ribosomal RNA
Source: RNAcentral